RNAcentral lists this long non-coding RNA (641 nucleotides) under Homo sapiens (human). Its description in RNAcentral is "non-protein coding lnc-PITRM1-12:2". Lineage: Eukaryota; Metazoa; Chordata; Mammalia; Primates; Hominidae. The record is from RNAcentral.
GUCUCCUCCGUGAUUGUACAAAGAACCAGGCAGAGAUCCUGGAAGGUCAUGAGGAUGGGAAGUGAGUCCGCGGGGGUCGUGUCUCCCCCCGGGGUGCGUGGGGCUCAGCAACACGUGUGGGGCCCUUCUCCCCAAGGCUCACUCUAGGACUCCCGGGAAAGACAGCUUGGGUGAACCUGGGUGUGGCAGGUAUUACAGGAAGGAAAAUGGGCUGUAUGGGUGAUAGAUAGGAGUGUAGGGGGAAGGGAUAGCAGGCGGAGCGGGGAAGGGAUGGCGCAGGUGGAGCACGGGCCCCUGCAGAACCAUGAGGCCACUAGGUUUCAGAGCCCUCAGGGUCCUACUGUCCCAGAAAGCCUGCGGGUCCAGCACCGGGCUUCUGUGUCUUAGGGCAGCUUUUGGAGGUGCUUCCUUUGUCUGCUAACUUACCUUUACCUUCCUACAUUUUGUUUGAAGUCAGAGAAAAUUGCCCAUUUGGGGGCAACAAUGAAGCAUUCAUCACUCUCCGGAGCUAAGCCAUCUCGAGUAGCCCUCAAUCAAACUCUGCUAUUUUUACCUCAGAGCACAGAGGCCACAGCGGAUAAAGGACCCUUAAGACAGGCACAGAGGACAGAGGACAUGCUCUCCUGGUGUGAAAAGCUCUG